This 497-nucleotide ribosomal RNA is filed under the name uncultured bacterium. Its description in RNAcentral is "partial 16S ribosomal RNA". It matches the Rfam family "Bacterial small subunit ribosomal RNA", at positions 28 to 507 of the family's 1533-position model. The record is from RNAcentral.
GAUGAACGCUGGCGGCGUGCCUAAUACAUGCAAGUCGAGCGAACAGACGAGGAGCUUGCUCCUCUGACGUUAGCGGCGGACGGGUGAGUAACACGUGGAUAACCUACCUAUAAGACUGGGAUAACUUCGGGAACCCGGAGAUAAUACCGGAUAAUAUAUUGAACCGCAUGGUUCAAUAGUGAAAGACGGUUUUGCUGUCACUUAUAGAUGGAUCCGCGCCGCAUUAGCUAGUUGGUAAGGUAACGGCCUACCAAGGCAACGAUGCGUAGCUGAUCUGAGAGGAUGAUCGGCCACACUGGAACUGAGACACGGUCCAGACUCCUACGGGAGGCAGCAGUAGGGAAUCUUCCGCAAUGGGCGAAAGCCUGACGGAGCAACGCCGCGUGAGUGAUGAAGGUCUUCGGAUCGUAAAACUCUGUUAUUAGGGAAGAACAAAUGUGUAAGUAACUAUGCACGUCUUGACGGUACCUAAUCAGAAAGCCACGGCUAACUACGUG